CCGUGAUAAAGUAGCAUAAUCACUCGUCAUUUAAUUGGUGACUGGAAUGAAUGGUUACACGAAUCUUUAACUGUCUCAAGAAGAAAGUUCAAUUAAUUUGAAAAAACAGUGAAGAUGCUGUUAACAAAAUUGUAAGACGAAAAGACCCUUUCGAGCUUUACUAUAAGCUUAUAGAAAAAAUCUUUAAUAAAAAUAUAAUAAAAACAAACUGUAAGCUAGUUAGUUUGGUUGGGGCGACCACCUCUAAAACAGUAUCAGAGGAAAUGUAAAGGUAUAAUAGUAAUAUUAAUUGCCUUACUGUAUACAAACAAGUUAAUCAGUUACUAUUAUGUAGGAUAUAGUGACCCGUUGAAUUAAUUUCAAAAUUCAACGACCAUGAAAAAAGUUACCGUAGGGAUAACAGGGUAAUAUUAUCAAAGAGUUCAUAUCGAUGAUGAU
This 438-nucleotide ribosomal RNA is filed under the name Nemopilema nomurai. RNAcentral's name for it is "partial 16S ribosomal RNA". It matches the Rfam family "Bacterial large subunit ribosomal RNA", at positions 1946 to 2515 of the family's 2925-position model. Lineage: Eukaryota; Metazoa; Cnidaria; Scyphozoa; Rhizostomeae; Rhizostomatidae. The record is from RNAcentral.